GCCCUCGUAGCUCAGGGGAUAGAGCGUCUGCCUCCGGAGCAGAAGGCCGCAGGUUCGAAUCCUGCCGAGGGCACCA
Molecule: transfer RNA, 76 nt
Filed under: Nocardia brasiliensis
Lineage: Bacteria; Bacillati; Actinomycetota; Actinomycetes; Mycobacteriales; Nocardiaceae
Also listed under: 51 other names
Description: tRNA-Arg
Rfam family: tRNA
About the family: Transfer RNA (tRNA) molecules are approximately 80 nucleotides in length. Their secondary structure includes four short double-helical elements and three loops (D, anti-codon, and T loops). Further hydrogen bonds mediate the characteristic L-shaped molecular structure. tRNAs have two regions of fundamental functional importance: the anti-codon, which is responsible for specific mRNA codon recognition, and the 3' end, to which the tRNAs corresponding amino acid is attached (by aminoacyl-tRNA synthetases). tRNAs cope with the degeneracy of the genetic code in two manners: having more than one tRNA (with a specific anti-codon) for a particular amino acid; and 'wobble' base-pairing, i.e. permitting non-standard base-pairing at the 3rd anti-codon position.
Source: RNAcentral